GAGUUUGAUCAUGGCUCAGAUUGAACGCUGGCGGUAGGCUUAACACAUGCAAGUCGUGCGAGAAAGUAUCUUCGGAUAUGAGUAGAGCGGCGGACGGGUGAGUAACGCGUAGGAAUCUACCUAGUAGAAGGGGAUAGCCCGGGGAAACCCGGAUUAAUACCGUAUACCUCCUUCGGGAGAAAGAAGGCCUCUCUUUGAAGCUUUCGCUACUAGAUGAGCCUGCGUAAGAUUAGCUUGUUGGUGAGGUAAAGGCUCACCAAGGCGACGAUCUUUAGCUGGUCUGAGAGGACGAUCAGCCACAUUGGGACUGAGACACGGCCCAGACUCCUACGGGAGGCAGCAGUGGGGAAUAUUGGACAAUGGGCGCAAGCCUGAUCCAGCCAUACCGCGUGUGUGAAGAAGGCCUUCGGGUUGUAAAGCACUUUAAGCAGGGAGAAAAAGUUAUAAGUUAAUACCUUAUAACCCUGAUGUUACCUGCAGAAUAAGCACCGGCUAAUUCCGUGCCAGCAGCCGCGGUAAUACGGAAGGUGCAAGCGUUAAUCGGAAUUACUGGGCGUAAAGCGCGCGUAGGUGGUUUGUUAAGUUGGAUGUGAAAGCCCUGGGCUCAACCUAGGAACUGCAUCCAAAACUAACUCACUAGAGUACGAUAGAGGGAGGUAGAAUUCAUAGUGUAGCGGUGGAAUGCGUAGAUAUUAUGAAGAAUACCAGUGGCGAAGGCGGCCUCCUGGAUCUGUACUGACACUGAGGUGCGAAAGCAUGGGUAGCGAAGAGGAUUAGAUACCCUCGUAGUCCAUGCCGUAAACGAUGUGUGUUAGACGUUGGAAAUUUAUUUUCAGUGUCGCAGGGAAACCGAUAAACACACCGCCUGGGGAGUACGACCGCAAGGUUAAAACUCAAAUGAAUUGACGGGGACCCGCACAAGUAGUGGAGCAUGUGGUUUAAUUCGAAGAUACGCGCAGAACCUUACCAACACUUGACAUGUUCGUCGCGACUCUAAGAGAUUAGAGUUUUCGGUUCGGCCGGACGAAACACAGGUGCUGCAUGGCUGUCGUCAGCUCGUGUCGUGAGAUGUUGGGUUAAGUCCCGCAACGAGCGCAACCCUCACUUUUAGUUGCCAUCAUUAAGUUGGGCACUCUGAAAGAACUGCCAGUGAUAAGCUGGAGGAAGGUGGGGAUGACGUCAAGUCCUCAUGGCCCUUACGUGUUGGGCUACACACGUGCUACAAUGGUAUCUACAACAGGAAGCAAAACUGCGAAGUUAAGCAAAUCCCUAAAAGAUACCUCAGUUCGGAUUGCACUCUGCAACUCGAGUGCAUGAAGCUGGAAUUACUAGUAAUCGUGGAUCAGCGUGCCACGGUGAAUGCGUUCCCGGGUCUUGUACACACCGCCCGUCACACCAUGGGAGUUGGUUCUACCUUAAGGCAAGGUUUCAAACCCUUGACCACGGUAUAGUCAGCGACUGGGGUGAAGUCGUAACAAGGUAACC
This 1485-nucleotide ribosomal RNA is filed under the name uncultured marine bacterium. RNAcentral's name for it is "16S ribosomal RNA". It matches the Rfam family "Bacterial small subunit ribosomal RNA". The record is from RNAcentral.